RNAcentral lists this ribosomal RNA (253 nucleotides) under uncultured bacterium. RNAcentral's name for it is "partial 16S ribosomal RNA". It matches the Rfam family "Bacterial small subunit ribosomal RNA", at positions 524 to 776 of the family's 1533-position model. The record is from RNAcentral.
UACGUAGGGGGCAAGCGUUGUCCGGAUUUAUUGGGCGUAAAGAGCGUGUAGGCGGCUUUGCAAGUCCGUUGUGAAAACUCGAGGCUCAACCUCGAGACGCCGGUGGAAACUGCAAAGCUAGAGUCCGGAAGAGGAGAGUGGAAUUCCUGGUGUAGCGGUGAAAUGCGCAGAUAUCAGGAAGAACACCCGUGGCGAAGGCGGCUUUCUGGGACGGUACUGACGCUGAGACGCGAAAGCGUGGGGAGCGAACAGG